UGGCUCACGCCUGUAAUCCCAACACUUUGGGAGGCUGAGGCGGGCGGAUCACUUGAGGUCAAGAGUUCAAGACCAGCCUGGCCAACAUGAUUCUACUCUAAAAGUCACCAGGAAAAAUUCAGCUCCACUGGUCCUGGCUCUAAGUCUACUAGCAAAAUCUUCCAGAGAAGUGGAAAAGCCAUCAGCCAAUGUGUUAGACUAUCAUUUCCAUGACCUUACACCUAUCAAAAAGGCACUAUUACCAGGCUUAUAGAAUUCUAAAAAAGUUGGAAACCAUUUUCCAUUAUAAAAGAAAUUCUUCCAAAUCACACAAAACACUCUGACACUUCUCCAAUUCCCCCUAUCAUGGGGCUGGCAGCAGCCGCUUUGCGUCCUGAAUGUCAUGACAGUGAUGAUAACAGUAAUGAUGAUAACAGCAAUGAUGAAGUCUCACAUUUAAAAUUUUCAAGUCACUCAUCACAUCCCAAGUCACUCCCUUCAUUACCUUUUAUUUAUACUGGAGUCAUCCUGUGUGCCUCAGUCAGACCAUUUUGUAUGUACAAUGACCGACAAUGAGAUUUAACAUGCAGUUUGCAGAUCCUCCCUUCUCUGGGUCACCUGAAAAUAAGCCACAAACAAAGGAAUGAAAUUGUUGAUGAAAAGGGAAGAGGCAAGACUCCAUAUGAAGAAUACAACUGACUCACCUGUCUGUACAUGCCUCUGUGUGUGUGUUUUAUAUUGGUGCUGGUGAAGAUAGUUCUUUAUGCUGAUGCUUAAUAAGGUGAAAUGUGUCUAUUUUCUUCCAUUGGCCCAGGCACAGAUGCGAUUAUAAUUGCUAAGAUUAUUUGCAUAUUGGCUUUUAAUGAUGCAUUUAAAAAUAUUCAUCCCAUUUACUGACUUAUGCAGGCAAUGUACUUUUGUAAAUGUGGGCCAGCAUCAUGCUUAAAUUCCCAAACCACUAUUUAUUUAAAACUCAUCACUUCAGUUUUUAUACCCUUUCUCCCCCAUAAGGGAAAAAAUAUGAUUCUGACUGUAUAAGCACCAACUAAACAGAACACAAAACAUGGCAGACGAUAAAAACAUAUUUUCACAAAUGAGACAUGUCAUUUUACCAUCGAGGAGAGAAACAAAAUAAGCUGGUUUUCAAGUUCCAUAUCUUGUGUGCUCCUUUCAGCUAAAUGCCCUUACAUCUGUAAGCCCUUGGGACAGGUUAAGGCUUUUAUUAUUAUUUUAAAGUCUUCAUAACUACAACCUAGCAUCCAAAGUGAAACAGAUGCUAUUGGAUAUGAGUAGCAUAUGCAAUGGAAAUAUUGACAUUGCCUUCCCGACAGUCAUGAGGGAUAGACCAUAGGCUUUUUGGUAACCUAUAUUUUCUAGGCCCAAAGCAGGGAAUGAGAUGGCAGGGAAAUUCAGGGUAAACUCCAAAUUUACAUAAAGUUAUAGAAGAAUAUAGAUCAUGAGUAGUGGCUAGCACCUUCCUGACUUCCAGAAAAUGGUGGUGCCGAUAUUGAACAACAGUUUGGAGAAAAUGUAAAAUGUUUACAUUUACAUUUACAGUUUAGUCUUUGAACAACAGUUUGGAGAAAAUGUAAAAUGAAAAUUUGUUAACGAACUUGUUUUUAAAAAGCACCUAGACUCCAUAUAAGAGUACUUGUCCUAUGUUAUUUUCAUAAACUACAUUUGUGAUUGU
This is a long non-coding RNA of Homo sapiens (human), 1669 nucleotides long. RefSeq annotates it as RGPD4 divergent transcript. NCBI's taxonomy places the organism in Eukaryota, Metazoa, Chordata, Mammalia, Primates, Hominidae. The transcript has 3 exons. The record is from RefSeq and is marked validated.